AACGAACGCUGGCGGCAGGCCUAACACAUGCAAGUCGAGCGCCCGGAUUUAUCCGGGAGCGGCGCACGGGUGAGUAACGCGUGGGAACAUGCCCUGAAGUACGGAACAACCUGGGGAAACCUUGGCUAAUACCGUAUACGCCCUGAGGGGGAAAGAUUUAUCGCUUUGGGAUUGGCCCGCGUUGGAUUAGCAGGUUGGUGUGGUAACGGCGCACCAAGGCGACGAUCCAUAACUGGUCUGAGAGGAUGACCAGUCACACUGGGACUGAGACACGGCCCAGACUCCUACGGGAGGCAGCAGUGGGGAAUAUUGGACAAUGGGCGAAAGCCUGAUCCAGCCACGCCGCGUGAGUGAAGAAGGCCUUCGGGUUGUAAAGCUCUUCCAGCGGGGACGAUGAUGACGGUACCCGCAGAAGAAGCCCCGGCUAACUUCGUGCCAGCCGCCGCCGUAA
RNAcentral lists this ribosomal RNA (451 nucleotides) under uncultured bacterium. RNAcentral describes it as "partial 16S ribosomal RNA". It matches the Rfam family "Bacterial small subunit ribosomal RNA", at positions 29 to 523 of the family's 1533-position model. The record is from RNAcentral.